RNAcentral lists this ribosomal RNA (223 nucleotides) under uncultured Alphaproteobacteria bacterium. RNAcentral describes it as "partial 16S ribosomal RNA". It matches the Rfam family "Bacterial small subunit ribosomal RNA", at positions 1153 to 1397 of the family's 1533-position model. Lineage: Bacteria; Pseudomonadati; Pseudomonadota; Alphaproteobacteria. The record is from RNAcentral.
CGGUGAUAAGCCGGAGGAAGGUGUGGAUGACGUCAAGUCCUCAUGGCCCUUACGGGUUGGGCUACACACGUGCUACAAUGGUGGUGACAAUGGGUUAAUCCCAAAAAGCUAUCUCAGUUCGGAUUGGGGUCUGCAACUCGACCCCAUGAAGUCGGAAUCGCUAGUAAUCGCGUAACAGCAUGACGCGGUGAAUACGUUCCCGGGCCUUGUGCACACCGCCCGU